CAGGAUGAACGCUAGCGGCAGGCUAACACAUGCAAGUCGAGGGCAGCGGGUCCAGCAAUGGAUGCCGGCGACCGGCGAAAGGGUGAGUAACGCGUGAGCAACAUGCCCGACACUGGGGGAUAGUCAUUGGAAACGAUGCGUAAUACCCCGUAACACAAGGGGCCGCGUGACCUUUUGUUGAAAGAUUCAUUGGUGUCGGAUUGGCUCGCGUGCCAUUAGGUAGACGGCGGGGUAACGGCCCACCGUGCCGACGAUGGCUAGGGGUUCUGAGAGGAAGGUCCCCCACAUUGGAACUGAGACACGGUCCAGACUCCUACGGGAGGCAGCAGUGAGGAAUAUUGGACAAUGGCCGGAAGGCUGAUCCAGCCAUGCCGCGUGCGGGAUGACGGCCCUAUGGGUUGUAAACCGCUUUUGCCGGGGAGCAAUAAGGCCCACGCGUGGGCCGACGUGAGUACCCGGCGAAUAAGCAUCGGCUAACUCCGUGCCAGCCGCCGC
Molecule: ribosomal RNA, 495 nt
Filed under: uncultured bacterium
Lineage: Bacteria
Description: bacterial SSU rRNA
Rfam family: Bacterial small subunit ribosomal RNA
Source: RNAcentral